ACCCUGCUGCGCAGUUGUCUGAAGGGGGCGGAAGGAAUAAACACUGAGAGACAGCAGUGUGUGUGUGUGUGUGGUGUGAGUGUUAGUUAUGUUUUAUUUUUCAUGUUUUAAACACUUUUAUUAAUUUUGCAUUAACUUCUCCCACAUCUCCAUCUGUAUUAAAAAGUCGAGAAUCAGCUGGUCUGCAGGAGUUCUGCAUCUAAAGCCCAGAAUCUCAUUUCUAUCCUGCACUGAAAGCUGAUCCACCAUGCAGGGCUGCCAUCUGCCCUGUUCGCUGUAUGGCUGCAGGCGGACCUACACUAAGCCUGAAGCGCUCGCCAGUCACCUGCAGGAUCACCAUCGGAUCCCUGCGCAGUCUCUUCCUGGGAAGUCCUUCCUGUGCUCCACAAUUGGCUGUGAAGCCACCUUCUCCAGCAUGCAGCAGCUGAUGGAUCAUAUGAGGCAUCACCAUAAGCCCAAUUGCUUCUUUCUAUGUGAAAGCUGUCGGGCAAAGCUACGCUCGUACCGCACCCUCCUUAAACACCUGCAGACGUGUGCUAAAGUGGCCAAGAAGGCUGCGAAGUUAGAGCCUGGAGCAGGUCCUGACAUGGGUCCCUCUGGUGUCCCACUAGCCCCAAUGGAUAUGGAGCUCUCUGGCCCCCUACAGGCCCCAGGUCAGCCUGAGCAGAUGGAGAUGCAGAUGCAGGCUCUGCCCACACUGAUGCCAAAUUCAGCAGCAUUAGUCCACCCCAAUCAGCAUGUCCAGCAACCUCCAACCAACGGUGCUUCACUAGACCCCGCCUCCUCCAGGCCUCUGUCAGAGUCCAUGGCUUCUCUGGAGCCAAAUCUACCCCAGAGUGUUUCGGGUCAACUAGAGGGCCCCUACAGCCCUUUCCCACCCAGUCUGUCUCCAAUACCCCCACCCCCCCUGCCGGACCUGUCCCAGCCGGAGCAGCAGAACCAGUGGCCCCCCAGAAUGGGCCAGCCUGUCCUGCCAGCUUCUCCACCUGGAUCCAACGCAGUCUGGAGGAAGAACCAAGACCCGCCCGCGCCCAUUUUGCACAGAUGGAACUCUCCUCCGAGUCAGGCUCAGGCUUUAAGUAGAGAGAAAGUCCAGGUCAGUCCUUCAGCUGCCGAAUCCUAUGGGAGCACACCAGGGGGCGCUACAGCUGCUUACAGUGCGGCCACUGCACCCCCGACCGCAAGGAGAUGACUACACACAUUGAGAGCCAGCACAAGAGCCCAAAACCAAACACAGACAACGACGCAGUGGUCAACUCACAUUUACAGAUGACUAAAAACCAGUCAGACUCAGAAAACUCCAGUUACACACAGCUCUAACUCUACCUUCAGUCCUGAAAUAAGUCAUUUACAGCCUGGGCACUUGUGUGAUGUCUUAACUCAGAUCUGUCUUAGUGUACAGUGUGAUUGUGGAAAAGCCACACUUGACUGCAUGCUGUUUAUAGAGAGCUAGCAGCUCAGUGCCGUUUAAAGCUUGUGAAAUAUUAAAGACCUGUAUUUACAGUUUGUGUUAAUUGUUAUAGCAGAAACAUUUGUACACUAAUUGCUGUUAGUUCAUAUUAAACCUAUUCUUUUUAGUAAAACUGAUGCAUUUGUAACUGCAGGUAUGAUUAAUAAGUAUAUUGUUCAUUAAUAUGUAUUAGUGUAAUACAGUAAUAUCUUUUUAACAACAGUUUUUGCAUUAUAAGCAGAUAUUCUGGCAUGUAGCAGUUUUUCAGUUAAUAUGUGCAUUAAUGUCAGUGUAAUCAUUGUG
Molecule: RNA transcript, 1753 nt
Organism: Astyanax mexicanus (Mexican tetra)
Lineage: Eukaryota; Metazoa; Chordata; Actinopteri; Characiformes; Acestrorhamphidae
Gene: znf414
Gene name: zinc finger protein 414
Exons: 8
Source: RefSeq, a predicted model, not a curated record